RNAcentral lists this ribosomal RNA (301 nucleotides) under uncultured bacterium. RNAcentral describes it as "partial 16S ribosomal RNA". It matches the Rfam family "Bacterial small subunit ribosomal RNA", at positions 509 to 809 of the family's 1533-position model. The record is from RNAcentral.
CAGCCGCCACGGUAAUACGAAGGGUGCAAGCGUUAAUCGGAAUUACUGGGCGUAAAGCGUGCGUAGGCGGUUUGUUAAGUCUGUUGUGAAAUCCCCGGGCUCAACCUGGGAAUGGCAAUGGAUACUGGCAAGCUAGAGUGUGUCAGAGGAUGGUGGAAUUCCCGGUGUAGCGGUGAAAUGCGUAGAGAUCGGGAGGAACAUCAGUGGCGAAGGCGGCCAUCUGGGACAACACUGACGCUGAGGCACGAAAGCGUGGGGAGCAAACAGGAUUAGAUACCCGGGUAGUCCCUGUCUCUUAUAA